CUCUGUUCCAAAUCGGGUAUAACAUCCUCUCCUUCCUCUUCCUUUUCACUAAGACAUGAAAAGGAGUUUGAAAGCUUUGAAGCGUCAACCUGACUCAUAUCUAACCGUUUACCUGGACUACGAAUCCCCUUAGUAGGUGUACACCUAGUGAUGUUAAAACGGGUCUUAUACCCACGGGUCUAAACAGGCCUAGUUUAUUUUUUAAAACCCGAAUCCACUUAAAAAACACAAAAUUAUAAACGGAUUUAAAAGGGUAUAACCAUUAAGACCCGAAUACUAAUGGGUUUGAGCAAAAUAUUAUCGGGUAGCCCGUUUAUUUCAUUUGUUUUCAGAAUUUUCCAGAAUCUUCAAAAAUUUUCAAAAUUCGUCGAGAGAAGCUAUCUCCGGCGAAUCUCCGAUUCAGAACAAGAGGGUCGUGUCUUCUUUCUCUAAUUCCAAUUUCAGGAGCUGAGGUUGCGGUUCUCUGCAUAACCAAAUCUGGUGAAGUAGUUAUUAGGCUCUGAUCUUGUUGUGUCCCCAAUUGGAGCAGUCAAUUCACCGUGGGGGUAACCAUGGGUAGACAAACUCCACAACAGUAUCGCCUCCCUUCCCAGAUUUAAAAGAGAUAUGUUUAGGCAAGUUCUUUGUUAAAUCCAGGAAGAAACUCACCCAACAGAGACAAAGAAACCUCCAAACCUCAAGAACACUCACAUAGACUUUUGUUCUCUUCUUUCUCUCUAGAAAAACUGAUGAAAGCGGCUAAAGAGAAGAAGGAAGUCGUGUUUUUCCUAUUAUACUCGAGCCUUAGGGUUUCCUUAACCCAACCACGCAAACCAGAGAAUUAAAAUCGAACUAAUUUGAACCAUCUGCAUAAGGUGUCGAUCAACACCAGCACCUGUGUCGAUCGACACUCUUACCAAAUUUCCACAAUUCCGUUCACGGGUGUUACAUAAAUUAUACAGAAUUAUUCUUCAAAACUUUUAACACACCACUAAGUUAUAUUUCUGAAACCCAUAUACACACUUAAUUUCCUAUAACAUGAAUAUUCAAUGAAAAUAAUCAAAUCAUGGCAAAGAGCAUUCAUUUGGUCCCAACAUAAUAUUCAAAAAAAAAAUGAUGCAUGAAGCUUACCAUAAGUCACAAAGAUCUUUUUUUUUUUUUUGUACCUCACAAGU
Camelina sativa (false flax) is the source of this 1154-nucleotide non-coding RNA. The record is from RefSeq and is a predicted model, not a curated record. Lineage: Eukaryota; Viridiplantae; Streptophyta; Magnoliopsida; Brassicales; Brassicaceae.